AUAUGCAAAAUUUUAAAAAAUUUGAAAAUCAUUUGAUACUUCGUUUUGUUAAUUCAAAUCAAUGUAUAAAAUAAUUUUAUGAUUAUCCAUCAAUUUUGAUUAAUAAAAUGAAGUACCAAAUAAUUUUCAAAUUUUUAAAAAGUUUGUAAAC
Molecule: microRNA precursor, 151 nt
Filed under: Cajanus cajan (pigeon pea)
Lineage: Eukaryota; Viridiplantae; Streptophyta; Magnoliopsida; Fabales; Fabaceae
Description: miRNA gene-KK1_031619
Source: RNAcentral